AACGAACGCUGGCGGCGGGGCUUAGGCAUGCAAGUCGAGCGAGAAAGGGGUAACCCAAGUAAAGCGGCGUAAGGGUGAGUAAUGGGUAGCUAACGUACCCUCCAGACGCGGAAUAAUUUCCCGAAAGGGAUUGUAAUGCGCGAUGAGACCACGUGAUCUUCGGAUCAUGAGGUCAAAGGCCGGGGACCUUCGGGCCCGACGGCUGGGGAGGCGGCGGACCUCCGAUUAGCUUGUUGGUGAGGUAACGGCUCACCAAGGCGACGAUCAGUAGCUGGUCUGAGAGGAUGAUCA
This 291-nucleotide ribosomal RNA is filed under the name uncultured bacterium. RNAcentral's name for it is "partial 16S ribosomal RNA". It matches the Rfam family "Bacterial small subunit ribosomal RNA", at positions 29 to 306 of the family's 1533-position model. The record is from RNAcentral.